CACUGUGCGCGAGAGGCAGAAGCGGAGUUGAUGGGGGAGCAGCAGCGGUUGACUCGCCGCUGUCCUCAAGGCCAGGAUGUUAAAGUACUUACUGGAGGCAAGAAGAAGAAAGAUGGCUGGAAUUAAGUAUGGACGAAUUUUGAUGAACAGUGAUAAAGCUCGCUCUGUUGGACACCACACCAGUGAUGUUUGAAGGUCACAGGUUUACAAUGAUAAGUGAAGAAUGAAUAAGAAGAUUGCCAACAUCAAAAUCUCCAGUGGCAACUUACAUCAGCUGCACUUCGGAAAAAACUCUCCACAGUUCAGGAAGAGAUGUUUCAUUGGCGAGUGAGGCGCAGUCCAGCGGAAUGAGUCGUUGACUGGGAAUUAGAACCAUCUUUUUUCUAGUCCCGAGUCAGACACUAACUGUUACUAGACUCUGUGGGUUUAGAGAUGUCCACCAGUCACUGUUCCCAAAACUGUAAAAUGGGGCUUGUGAGGCUGAAAUAGACAACAGGCCUGAUCCUGAGCCCAUUGAAGUCAGAACAAAGAUCCAGAUCCCAUUGACUUUUCUGGAUCCAGGAGCAGAUCCUCUGUUCAUAAAAUAUUCUACACAUGCUAAUUAUUUAUAGGUUCAUGGAUUCUAAGGCCAGAAGAGACCACUGAUCAUCUAGGCUGACCUGCAGAACAUAGGCCAGAGAAAUGCCCAAAACUAAUCACUAGAGCAGAUCUUUUAGAGAAACAUCCAAUCUUGAUUUUAAAAUGGUCAGUGAUGGAGAAUCCCUGGCGACCCUGGUUCCAGUGUUUAAUGACGUCACCCUUAAAAGUUUAGUCCUGAUUCUCAGUCUGAAUUUGACCAGCAAUUAUUAUUAUUGUUACUAGUUCUGAAAUGGUGGGGAGCAGAAUCUAAUAUUGCCUUCCAGGAGUGGCAGAAGUUCCCUAUAAGUGGGCGGGGGGCCACCAGCACCCAAACCAUGGACUUACCCCUCCCCGGGAGGCCCCACUCCUGCACUCGUCUUCCCCCCAAGGCUCUACCCCUACACCUCCUCUUCCCCCCCCCAGACUGCCACCCCCCACUCACUCUCCUCCACCCCCUAUGCCGUUGUUUGCCCCUACAGCCAAUAAAAAGUGAUUGGCCCACAGCCCCCUGGCACCUCCCCGUUCCAGUACCCCGUCUCCUGCGAUUUAUUCCUAGGCCAAGCAUUCAAAUCUUUGACACUACAGGCUCAGACCCCAUCUGAGACCCCAGCCCUUCACCCUUCUGAGGCUCAUGCAUUGAGUACCAUACAGCUUGCUGGGUUUGGCUCUUUCAGAUGGUCCUUAAAAACCAAGGUCCCGACUGCUUUGUGUGGGCAUUACAAAUACCAUGGCACAAUGGUUUUAGUGAGACUUUGCUCUGCAU
Long non-coding RNA from Mauremys mutica (yellowpond turtle), 1381 nucleotides. RefSeq lists it as uncharacterized. The record is from RefSeq and is a predicted model, not a curated record. The transcript is spliced from 3 exons. Lineage: Eukaryota; Metazoa; Chordata; Testudines; Geoemydidae.